UACGGGAGGCAGCAGUAGGGAAUAUUGGGCAAUGGACGCAAGUCUGACCCAGCCAUGCCGCGUGCAGGAUGAAGGCGUUAUGCGUUGUAAACUGCUUUUAUACAGGAAGAAACGACUCUUGCGAGAGGCAUUGACGGUACUGUAUGAAUAAGCACCGGCUAACUCCGUGCCAGCAGCCGCGGUAAUA
RNAcentral lists this ribosomal RNA (187 nucleotides) under uncultured Bacteroidota bacterium. RNAcentral's name for it is "uncultured Bacteroidetes bacterium partial 16S ribosomal RNA". It matches the Rfam family "Bacterial small subunit ribosomal RNA", at positions 340 to 525 of the family's 1533-position model. Lineage: Bacteria; Pseudomonadati; Bacteroidota. The record is from RNAcentral.